Molecule: long non-coding RNA, 290 nt
Filed under: Elaeis guineensis (African oil palm)
Lineage: Eukaryota; Viridiplantae; Streptophyta; Magnoliopsida; Arecales; Arecaceae
Description: long non-coding RNA (EGUI_LNC064874)
Source: RNAcentral
AAAUCAUCAUGGUGACUUGCAAGUAAUUCACUAUGCUUUGGUGUCGGACUAUCUGUAUUUCUAAUAUAGUGAUAAAAAAAUUUUGAGCACAGUCAAGUACUUGCAAAUUCUGUGUGUGAAUCAAGAUAGAAUUGAUCGCUUCAGAUUUUUGGAGAUAAUGCUUCAAUGUAUUUCAAUUUAGUAAAAUCUUAGCCAAGAUAAUCUUUAUGAUGAGUCACAAGAUUUAUAAAGUUGAAACACAAUACAGAUGACUGAUUAAGAGUUUGACAAUUUAACUCUAAGGUCAACCU